GGCCAGACUCCUACGGGAGGCAGCAGUGGGGAAUAUUGCACAAUGGGGGAAACCCUGAUGCAGCGACGCCGCGUGAGUGAAGAAGUCUUUCGGUAUGUAAAGCUCUAUCAGCAGGGAAGAAAUAGCGACCUUUGGGUCGCCAGACGGUACCUGAUUAAGGAGCCCCGGCUAACUACGUGCCAGCAGCCGCGGUAAUACGUAGGGGGCAAGCGUUAUCCGGAAUUACUGGGUGUAAAGGGAGCGUAGACGGUGAUGUAAGUCUGGAGUGAAAGGCGGGGGCCCAACCCCCGGACUGCUCUGGAAACUAUGUGACUGGAGUGCAGGAGAGGUGAGCGGAAUUCCUAGUGUAGCGGUGAAAUGCGUAGAUAUUAGGAGGAACACCAGUGGCGAAGGCGGCUCACUGGACUGUAACUGACGUUGAGGCUCGAAAGCGUGGGGAGCAAACAGGAUUAGAUACCCCAGUA
This 464-nucleotide ribosomal RNA is filed under the name uncultured bacterium. RNAcentral describes it as "bacterial SSU rRNA". It matches the Rfam family "Bacterial small subunit ribosomal RNA", at positions 329 to 792 of the family's 1533-position model. The record is from RNAcentral.